UAGUACAACUUAGUAUAAGUGACUUCCAAUCACCCGGCCUUGGUUAAAAUCCAGGGAAAGAUA
This 63-nucleotide transfer RNA is filed under the name Elassoma zonatum (banded pygmy sunfish). Its description in RNAcentral is "tRNA-Gly". It matches the Rfam family "tRNA". Rfam says of the family: Transfer RNA (tRNA) molecules are approximately 80 nucleotides in length. Their secondary structure includes four short double-helical elements and three loops (D, anti-codon, and T loops). Further hydrogen bonds mediate the characteristic L-shaped molecular structure. tRNAs have two regions of fundamental functional importance: the anti-codon, which is responsible for specific mRNA codon recognition, and the 3' end, to which the tRNAs corresponding amino acid is attached (by aminoacyl-tRNA synthetases). tRNAs cope with the degeneracy of the genetic code in two manners: having more than one tRNA (with a specific anti-codon) for a particular amino acid; and 'wobble' base-pairing, i.e. permitting non-standard base-pairing at the 3rd anti-codon position. The record is from RNAcentral. Lineage: Eukaryota; Metazoa; Chordata; Actinopteri; Centrarchiformes; Elassomatidae.